This 1086-nucleotide long non-coding RNA is filed under the name Macaca mulatta (Rhesus monkey). RNAcentral's name for it is "lncRNA (ENSMMUG00000052211.1)". Lineage: Eukaryota; Metazoa; Chordata; Mammalia; Primates; Cercopithecidae. The record is from RNAcentral.
UGGUGCAAUCUCACCUCACUGCAACCUCCAUCUCUCGGGCUCAAGCAAUUCUCCUGCAUCAGCCUCCCGAGAGAAUAGCUUGAACCCAGGAGGUGGAGGUUGCAGUGAGCUGAGAUCAUGAAACUGCACUCCAGCAUGGGCGACAGAGUGAGACUCCGUCUCAAGAAAAAAACAAACAUAGAUGUGUCACUUUAUUCAUAAAAACUAGAUGUACAGUCUUCUCAAUCACAAUGAAGUAGAAAACGUGAAACAUCCUACUAAACUUUUAACACUGCUUAUUACAAUUUUUAUGUAUGCUAGAAGAUGCUAGUGUUCUAAAAAAGAUGUAACAACUAAAAUAUUCCUAAAACCAAACAUUAUAUGACAAGCAAAAUCGACUGCAUGGAACUGAAAGUGUAAUCUCAAACAUCAAAAAUAAAGCCAGCCGGGCGUGAUGACUCGCACCUGUAAUCCCAGCACUUUGGGAGGCUGAGGUGGGAGGAACACUUGAGUCCAGAAGUUUAGGACCAGCCUGAGCAACACAGUGGAGAACCCAUCUAUGAAAGAAAGAAAGAAAGAAAAAACAAAGCAAAACAUGGUAAGGCCUUAAGUGAUGCCCGAUGAUGACAGGCCAGCUGAACGGCGGCAUGCCCUGUGCCAGGCAUAGGCCUGCACUGUGCUCACUUGUCUUUGACACGCUGCUCUCUCCUAAAGGACUGCUCUGAAAAUGACCACAGUUUUGUCCUUAGUAGCAUCCAUCAGAUUUAGAUUAAAUUAAGAAUCUAGUAGCUACUUUAAUCUAGUGCUUAAAGCUACUUUACCACAGUAUUACAGAAAAACUAGAAGUAACAUUUUGUUAAAACCAGGUCCCCAGUACAUAAAACAGAGAGUAAACACAGUGCAGGAUAAAGACUGACUUUAGGAAAAAGAGUUACUGCUGAUGUCAUUUCUCUAACAGUCGUCAGACUUUUCUAUGAGAAGGCCAGAGGCUCACACUUGUAUACACAACGUGCAGGUGCAGGGAAGACCAAGGAAAGCAGCUAUCCAAUUUUUUACAAAGCCAUACAGAGACAAGUUCAAGGAAAAAGCUUUAAGAGUUAUUUUCAC